Molecule: long non-coding RNA, 938 nt
Filed under: Marmota monax (woodchuck)
Lineage: Eukaryota; Metazoa; Chordata; Mammalia; Rodentia; Sciuridae
Source: RNAcentral
GGGAAAGGAAAGAAUGGGGACAGCAGACACACUGAAGCUGUCCCCUGCAGCUACUCUGCUCCUCCUUCAUGGAAUGAAAUGGCUCCUUUUAUUUUCCUUUUAUUGUUCAUUGUGUUUUAUAAUUUUGUAAUUUUUUUUAAAUGAAAAAGGGAAGGAAAACAUCUUCCCUUUUUGUCAUAUGACGCAGUGGCUUUACUUCUUUCAAUGAAUUGAGAAAUGUUCCAAAUGUUCCAUUCAUGUAAAAGAUGUAAGGCCUUUAAAUGCAGUUUAAAAACAUAAGUGGGCAAAACACUGAUCAGCAGAUAACCCUCUAGCUCCAAACAAAAGACAAAUUAGCAACAGGCUGGCCCCAAAUCUUCCGGUGGACUCCACCAUAUCAUUAGCAGUAUGUUAAAUAGGCUUUGAAACAAAUUCAUCUCUGAUUCUUGUCCUAGAGGUCUGAGGCCUCAGGUGGGGCCAUAUUAGAUCUUUCUUUUGUUUCUUGGAACUAAUUCCCCUGGGUGGAUCCAAGGAGGACUCAUGUGGGAUUACAGAAUAGAGCAGUAAGAAUCCAUCAUAUUUUUUUUCUUGCAAAUUCUAUUAUGUGGUCUCCUCAAAUUUGUCAUUAAAGAAAUCAUAAUAUAGAAAAACAAUCCCAAACACAGGGUACUGCUUCUUGUUUCGUCUUUAUUUUCUCUUUAAUAGCAGUGAUAUCAAGCUGGGCCAUAGCAAUCAUAAGUGCUGCCUUCUGGGUGGCUACUAUUCGUCAGUCCCUUUGUCCCUCACAACUCUCCAAAGCUCAUUAUACCCAUUUCACAGAUGAAGCCAUUGAGAUAGCCAUGUCGCACCAAUAAUUCAGUCCCAGGUCUCGCAGAGUUUGGGGUGUAGGCUCUUGGCUGGUAAGCCUCAUCACCUCUCAGGGCAUGUGUCACCUGGCUCACCCACUCUGGAAGAAGUCA